CAAAACGUAACAAGUCAGUAACGUAACAAGCUCCCUCCCCCAACUACUUUUCCAUCCAUGGCCUUUCUUCUUCUUUCUUCCUCUGCAAAUAAUAUGAUUCUUUCAUCCUUUAUCUCUUCUCGAUUUCAUCUCCACUGCUCCGAUUUGGUAUGCGAUCAUGCUGACAGCUUCCGUUAUGGGGUCUACUGUAGAAGCUCAGGGAACAAAAGUUGUCCGAGCUUCCUCUUGCUCUCUUUCCGCUUCUCGAAUUUUCCAGUAGCACGUCCAAGUGGAAAGGGGCUUUAGCUGGAGCACACUGUCUUGAGAGCCGAAUACCAGAUGGUUUGGAUUAGUCCUUCCCGGGAUUAUAUCGAAAUCUCUGACUCCAUCUAGUAGAGACUCUCGAUCUCGACCUUAUGCUCCUCCAGCUUCUCCAAAUCUCGGACCUGCAAGAUAGACAUAACCGAACACAUCAGUUGGUUCCUGCUAAAACAUUGCUUAGUUUACAAGUUAUCCGAGCCAAAUUAUUUUGAUUCCUCUUUGCAGUUUCUCGAGUUGGACAGUCGGCUCCUCCAGAGUUCCAUCAGAAACUCACAUACCUGGUACUCCGGCACCACCCACAAAUCAAACGAGUCGACACAGUUCGUGCAUAUAAGUUAAGGCUAAGCUUGUUCUAGGGCAUUUGGCCACAUGUAGUUAUGUAUCUGAGUUUUGAAAAUGUGGGUGAGUAGAAGAAUGUUGUUCAUAUAACAAUUUGUAAUCUCUUAAAAUAAAUACAAGGAUAGAGAUUGCAUAGUUGAAACUCGAGUCAAACUCAUCCUUUUACUCAAGUCCGGCUCGUUAAUUUUUAAGUUAGCUUAUAUUCGAGGUCUAGUUAGAACAGGAAUACUGAAGUUUGUGUGGAACUCGAGGAAACUCAAGCUCGGUUUGGUACAAAAGUGUUUUCAAUGAGCUCAAUCAGAGCUUUGCACGUUUGAAAUACCACACGUACAAGUUAGAAGUGGUGCAGGCUCACGAGUCUGCAUAAUCGAGCUUAUCAGCCUGCAAGCUUGCCGAGUCAAGUAUAUCCUAAUUCAUCCACUACUAAUUCAUUCAUAUCCCGUCGAGUUUGAAA
RNAcentral lists this long non-coding RNA (1093 nucleotides) under Linum usitatissimum (flax). Its description in RNAcentral is "long non-coding RNA (LUSI_LNC002675)". The record is from RNAcentral. Lineage: Eukaryota; Viridiplantae; Streptophyta; Magnoliopsida; Malpighiales; Linaceae.